GUGCUCGAUUCAGCAGCAUGUAUACUAAAAUUGGAAUGAUACAGAGAAGGUUAACAUGGCCCAGGGCAAGGAUGACACGUAAAUUCGUGAAGCGUUAAAGAAAAAA
This is a small nuclear RNA of Myodes glareolus (Bank vole), 106 nucleotides long. NCBI's taxonomy places the organism in Eukaryota, Metazoa, Chordata, Mammalia, Rodentia, Cricetidae. The record is from RefSeq and is a predicted model, not a curated record.